CGGCAGGCUACACAUGCAGUCGAGCGGUAGCACAGAGAGCUUGCUCUCGGGUGACGAGCGGCGGACGGGUGAGUAAUGUCUGGGAAACUGCCUGAUGGAGGGGGAUAACUACUGGAAACGGUAGCUAAUACCGCAUAACGUCGCAAGACCAAAGUGGGGGACCUUCGGGCCUCAUGCCAUCAGAUGUGCCCAGAUGGGAUUAGCUAGUAGGUGGGGUAACGGCUCACCUAGGCGACGAUCCCUAGCUGGUCUGAGAGGAUGACCAGCCACACUGGAACUGAGACACGGUCCAGACUCCUACGGGAGGCAGCAGUGGGGAAUAUUGCACAAUGGGCGCAAGCCUGAUGCAGCCAUGCCGCGUGUGUGAAGAAGGCCUUCGGGUUGUAAAGCACUUUCAGCGGGGAGGAAGGCGGUGAGGUUAAUAACCUUGGCGAUUGACGUUACCCGCAGAAGAAGCACCGGCUAACUCCGUGCCAGCAGCCGCGGUAAUACGGAGGGUGCAAGCGUUAAUCGGAAUUACUGGGCGUAAAGCGCACGCAGGCGGUCUGUCAAGUCGGAUGUGAAAUCCCCGGGCUCAACCUGGGAACUGCAUUCGAAACUGGCAGGCUAGAGUCUUGUAGAGGGGGGUAGAAUUCCAGGUGUAGCGGUGAAAUGCGUAGAGAUCUGGAGGAAUACCGGUGGCGAAGGCGGCCCCCUGGACAAAGACUGACGCUCAGGUGCGAAAGCGUGGGGAGCAAACAGGAUUAGAUACCCUGGUAGUCCACGCCGUAAACGAUGUCGAUUUGGAGGUUGUGCCCUUGAGGCGUGGCUUCCGGAGCUAACGCGUUAAAUCGACCGCCUGGGGAGUACGGCCGCAAGGUUAAAACUCAAAUGAAUUGACGGGGGCCCGCACAAGCGGUGGAGCAUGUGGUUUAAUUCGAUGCAACGCGAAGAACCUUACCUGGUCUUGACAUCCACAGAACUUACCAGAGAUGGAUUGGUGCCUUCGGGAACUGUGAGACAGGUGCUGCAUGGCUGUCGUCAGCUCGUGUUGUGAAAUGUUGGGUUAAGUCCCGCAACGAGCGCAACCCUUAUCCUUUGUUGCCAGCGGUUAGGCCGGGAACUCAAAGGAGACUGCCAGUGAUAAACUGGAGGAAGGUGGGGAUGACGUCAAGUCAUCAUGGCCCUUACGACCAGGGCUACACACGUGCUACAAUGGCAUAUACAAAGAGAAGCGACCUCGCGAGAGCAAGCGGACCUCAUAAAGUAUGUCGUAGUCCGGAUUGGAGUCUGCAACUCGACUCCAUGAAGUCGGAAUCGCUAGUAAUCGUAGAUCAGAAUGCUACGGUGAAUACGUUCCCGGGCCUUGUACACACCGCCCGUCACACCAUGGGAGUGGGUUGCAAAAGAAGUAGGUAGCUUAACCUUCGGAGGCGCUACCACU
RNAcentral lists this ribosomal RNA (1423 nucleotides) under Klebsiella quasivariicola. RNAcentral's name for it is "bacterial SSU rRNA". It matches the Rfam family "Bacterial small subunit ribosomal RNA". The record is from RNAcentral. Lineage: Bacteria; Pseudomonadati; Pseudomonadota; Gammaproteobacteria; Enterobacterales; Enterobacteriaceae.